Molecule: long non-coding RNA, 2561 nt
Organism: Perca flavescens (yellow perch)
Lineage: Eukaryota; Metazoa; Chordata; Actinopteri; Perciformes; Percidae
Exons: 3
Source: RefSeq, a predicted model, not a curated record
AAUAGAUUACAAUAACGUGACUAUAUAACGACCUGGCAUGAGACUGGGCUGCGUGGUCACGUGUUUGCAAAGGGUCUAUAGGCCUGGAAUAUGAAGCAGCUUGUUUAGUCAUUUACAAAUGGAUUCGUUUGGACGCAACUCUUCUUGAAACAAAUCCAGGGAAGACGGGUAAAAAAAAAGAUAGUUUUGGUACGUGUGGACGUGGCCUUAGAAGGAGGCACUAACCUGCAAGAUGAGCACUGAUAUUUAUCUUUGGCUACAGUACAUGUAGGUAGGUAUAGGUUAAAUCGCCCUGCCCAAAGGUGGGUAUACACUGUAUACCUGCAUAUACGCACCACUACACCUCUUCGGUACAUCAUAUCUUGCAAUGGCACUGAAUGUUGGCAUUGGACGUGAAAUGGGAGGAACGUAAUCGUCCAAUAUAGACAUACUUCCAUCAGUUUCCAAGGACGCUUAUCAAGGCAAGACUAGAAUGAAAAGAGGAGACAGACCAACAUGCUUUGCUAGCUCAAUAUGAGAAUCUUAGCAACAAGGAGGUUUGCACUUCUGUCAUCUUAUGCUCCGAAUUCUCUCUAAGGACAGGAGGCUGUUAAUUCUGCAUUUACAUUAGUUGAGGAACAUUAAUCCCGAUGGAUUUACAUGCAGUAGCCAUCACUUGUGGUUUGUCCUUUAUGUGACAAUAAAUCUACCCACCCUACACAUUGCUUAUUGCCCUUGAUGGGACAUUAAAAAAACCUGAAAGAUUUUCUUGUCUAGAAUGUAGUUUGGAUUUUAAAAUGUGUUAAUCAGCUCCGGAUUGGUGGUGUAUUUUUUUCUUUUUUAUAAUCGCUCAGAUGACUGUUAGAAAGAUAUAUUUUAGGAUUCAUCAACACAUCUCUUGGAUCCAGGUAAGAGGAUCACACUUGUAGACCCCCUGGCCACUUCAAUUAGUGACCUCCACAGGCUUCUCCGAGCAGAGUGCUGAGAUUCUCUUCAAAUCCACAUGAUCAAAAUGUAUGAUUAAUGCUUGCAGUCCAUCCCAGCUAAGGCUAAUCAUCCAAAGAUUCACAAAGCCAUUUAAACCUCUCCAAAAACAGGAUGGAAAAGCUGCUUUAAGUAGCAUUUGUAUACAUGCUACAGCAUUAUUUGCAUACCAUAUCAUCAUGGAAAGAAUGCUACGAAGCAGAGUGCUUUAUUAAGAACACAACCAGCAACAUCUAAGGUAAUGGACCCUAAAUCUUUAAAACACUUUUACAGCAUUUUUGAAGCUAUAUGAAUAUAUUAAAGUCAAAGAGGUGAGUCACUGUUAGUUAAUUAGUGAUAUAUGUAUGUUUUAGAUGGCCGCAUUUGGCACAGAAAUUUAAGAAGUACAAAGAUGCUGUUCGUUAGUGUUGAGUUACAGCUCUGAAGGAUCUGUGAUUACAGUCCUCAUUUUAGACUGGGGGCAUCAAGCUUCAUAUCAAUAGGUGGAAGAACAGCAUGGCCUUCAGAACACUUCCACUAAUCACCCAUCUGUGGCCAUUGUCUACCAGAACCAUAUGUGACUGUGAUGUCUGUUUAUUAUAAUGAGGAUGAAGAUAAGUAGCAUUUGAUUACUUCCUCGCAAACUGUGCAGUGUGAAGUACUGUACUGUGUGCCCAGGCACUUGCAGAUCAUUUUGUGCAAUUAAAAGACAAUAUUCGGAAACUGAAAUUAUGAAUUUUGAAUGCCAGGAACUCAUUACUACUAUCUUUGUUUCAUCGUGUAUCUAAAAUACUGAGACAGAAAGAACACAAAAUCCCUUUUCACUAUCUGGUUUUGCAAGAGAAGUGAUUAGAUCACUUGAUACCGUCAUUCAACUGCUUCUAUUUUCUCCACCACAGGACCUUCCCCAGGGGAAUACACAACCAUAAUGGUUUUCAAGAAAUAUUAUCGACCUGGCCUGAUGCUGAAGGUGGCUACUGCUGUAAUGGCGCCCUUGCCUUGUGUGAAGAUGAGGCACAACUUAAAAAGUGCUGCAUUUGAAAGCAUCACGAUGUCUGAUGGAUGAUGUCAUCGCAUCGGACCAACCCUAAAACACCAUCAAUUAAUCAAAUGACUAUACGCAAUAUCAAUGGUGGCUAUUGCAUUGACAAACCUACAGAAAAUUAUCACCCAACCUAGCUGCUUUACACAGAUUGUUAGGCUCUUUUAGCUCUUAGUUUUGGGUUUUACAGCCUACAAAUGCACUGUAUAGUUCAGUCCCAACACUAUCAACAACCAUGUUUCCAGCAGCGGAACCAAAUAGCAAACAAAGUACAGCGUGAGGAAAAUUGAGCAUCUAGCAAGCCAAAGAACCCAUUCUUUGAAGGCUACUAAAACACAGUUUUAACAUUCGUAAAGUGGCCAUGAAUACAAUUCUAUACAUGCUAAUAUUAAAGUAGGCAACUGUUUGCUAAUACAUUAGCUAACACUUUUAUAAAGGUGUUAAAGUGUCUGUCUGGCGGUGUGUCUUUCAACUUGUUCAAGAUUUUCGAGUAAUUAUUUGGUAGAUUGGCACUAUCCUCCUAACCUGACUCCGCCAGAUGGAUUGUUUUGCAUUUGCUCGGCAUAUCCAUCUUGGA